This 762-nucleotide ribosomal RNA is filed under the name uncultured marine chrysophyte. RNAcentral describes it as "bacterial SSU rRNA". It matches the Rfam family "Bacterial small subunit ribosomal RNA", at positions 539 to 1310 of the family's 1533-position model. Lineage: Eukaryota; Chrysophyceae. The record is from RNAcentral.
UGUUAUCCGGAAUUAUUGGGCGUAAAGCGUCUGCAGGUUGAUAUACAAGUCUUUUGUUAAAUUUUCAGGCUUAACCUGAAGUCAGCAAAAGAAACUGUUUAUCUUGAGUAUGGUAGAGGUAAGGGGAAUUUCCAGUGGAGCGGUGAAAUGCGUAGAUAUUGGAAAGAACACCAACAGCGAAGGCACCUUACUGGGCCAUUACUGACACUCAGAGACGAAAGCUAGGGUAGCAAACGGGAUUAGAUACCCCGGUAGUCCUAGCCGUAAACGAUGGAUACUAGAUGUUGCGUACUUUAUAGUAUGCAGUGUCGUAGCUAACGCGUUAAGUAUCCCGCCUGGGAAGUAUGCGCGCAAGCGUGAAACUCAAAGGAAUUGACGGGGGCCCGCACAAGCGGUGGAGCAUGUGGUUUAAUUCGAUGCAACACGAAGAACCUUACCAGGACUUGACAUGAAGAGAAGUUUCUUGAAAGAGAAAUGUGCUACGGCCUCUUACACAGGUGGUGCAUGGCUGUCGGCAGCACGUGUCGUGAGAUGUUGGGUUAAGUCCCGCAACGAGCGCAACCCUUGUCUUGUGUUGCCCUUUAUUGGGGAUCUCAAGAGACUGCCGAUGAUAAAUCGGAGGAAGGUGAGGAUGACGUCAAGUCAGCAUGCCCCUUAUGAUCUGGGCUACACACGUGCUACAAUGGUUAGAACAAUAGGAAGCGAACUCGCGAGAGGGUGCAGAUCCUGAAAUCUAAUCUCAGUUCGGAUUGUAGGCUGCAA